CAGCUUGCAGGUACUCCUUUUAAUGCGUUCAGCUGCAACAGCCACUGCAGGAAAGUUCCAUGUCAGGAAAGCCAGGAUUUAAAUCCUUUUCCUCACUCAAGGAGGAAAGAGCAGGCUCAGACAAGGGAAAAACAAUCCACUGAGCUUGAUGUGAAGCAGAUACAGCACCAGAUUUCAGCACUAAUGAAGGAAGAGGGCCAGAGCUCUAUUUCCCUCCUUUCCAUCAUCCCAUUAGGGAAACCUAAUGACUCCUGGGAAGGAACAUAGCCUAUUGUGUUGACUACGAGGGUAAUAGGGACAGGAACUGUUUCAUAGCAAAACAAUCAUGAUACACGCAUCACUUUCUGGAACUGGAAUGAAAAGUCUGACCCCCUAUUUUAAGGCAAGCAAUGCUGUCAACAGGGAAAAUCCUUUGAGUGAAACAUUUCAGCAGAAUUCCACUUAAUGCCUGAUGUUACAAUGCUACUAGAAGGGAACAGUAGAAGGGACAGUGGUGUAGAUAGGCCUAAACAAUGGAAAAU
RNAcentral lists this long non-coding RNA (521 nucleotides) under Homo sapiens (human). RNAcentral describes it as "HSALNT0223925". The record is from RNAcentral. Lineage: Eukaryota; Metazoa; Chordata; Mammalia; Primates; Hominidae.